AGAGUUUGAUCAUGGCUCAGGACGAACGCUGGCGGCGUGCUUAACACAUGCAAGUCGAACGGAAAGGCCCAGCUUGCUGGGUACUCGAGUGGCGAACGGGUGAGUAACACGUGGGUGAUCUGCCCCAAACUUCGGGAUAAGCCUGGGAAACUGGGUCUAAUACCGGAUAUGACCUGCUCCUGCAUGGGGGUUGGUGGAAAGCUUUUGCGGUUUGGGAUGGGCCCGCGGCCUAUCAGCUUGUUGGUGGGGUAAUGGCCUACCAAGGCGACGACGGGUAGCCGACCCGAGAGGGUGAUCGGCCACACUGGGACUGAGACACGGCCCAGACUCCUACGGGAGGCAGCAGUGGGGAAUAUUGCACAAUGGGCGCAAGCCUGAUGCAGCGACGCCGCGUGAGGGAUGACGGCCUUCGGGUUGUAAACCUCUUUCGCCAGGGACGAAGCGCAAGUGACGGUACCUGGAGAAGAAGCACCGGCCAACUACGUG
RNAcentral lists this ribosomal RNA (486 nucleotides) under uncultured bacterium. Its description in RNAcentral is "bacterial SSU rRNA". It matches the Rfam family "Bacterial small subunit ribosomal RNA", at positions 8 to 507 of the family's 1533-position model. The record is from RNAcentral.